RNAcentral lists this ribosomal RNA (708 nucleotides) under Cryphalus piceus. Its description in RNAcentral is "eukaryotic LSU rRNA". It matches the Rfam family "Eukaryotic large subunit ribosomal RNA", at positions 386 to 842 of the family's 3401-position model. Lineage: Eukaryota; Metazoa; Arthropoda; Insecta; Coleoptera; Curculionidae. The record is from RNAcentral.
GAAACCCGAAAGGUCGAAGGGAGNAAAUUCAUUCGUGUCCGAUAUGGUUAUUGUGCGGUAUAUUGGUGUUCGAAANGGUGAGGAGCAAUUUUCACUUUUUGCCCUGCUGCAUUAAUAUAUGUACCAUGUUGGACGCGUGCACUUUUCUUCUGGUAGGACGUUGCGAUCCGUUGGGUGUUGAUCUACGGUGUGUGGUAGGGCAGACCUUGAAGUGAUGGAUUUGCAAAAAUUUAUUCUUUAAGGACCUCUGAUACCUGAUCAACUGGCCUGACGGUAUAAUUAGAACGGUUUUCGGUCGCUCGAUCAAUGAUUGGUUGAAGCGUUCGGCUUGUAGCAAGCGCGUUAAAUGUUUCAGAUAACGGACCUGGUGCCGUGUCUGAUCAUUGACGUCUGUUGGUUGCAAAUGUCUCGAACCGGCUGACCUGUAAAAAACUGAUCUGCAACGAUAUAGCUUUGGGUAAUUUCAGGACCCGUCUUGAAACACGGACCAAGGAGUCUAGCAUGUACGCAAGUCAUUGGGAAUUACAAAACCUAAAGGCACAAUGAAAGUAAACGUUCAUCUUUAACGGUGAACGAUGGGAAGAUGAGCGUUAAUAAUGUCAAAGUUAUUGCGUUCCGCAUUCCCGGGGCGUCUCGUUCUCAUUGCGAGAAGAGGUGCACCAUGAGCGUACACGCUGGGACCCGAAAGAUGGUGAACUAUGCCUGGUC